Molecule: small RNA, 434 nt
Filed under: Histoplasma ohiense
Lineage: Eukaryota; Fungi; Ascomycota; Eurotiomycetes; Onygenales; Ajellomycetaceae
Description: hypothetical lncRNA
Source: RNAcentral
GGACCCAGGGGGGAAGAUGGGGUUAUACCAGUACACUUGACCAGGCACCUAGAAGUUCUAUGAGAGAUCAACGGAUUAUGUACCCUGGCGGAAAGGGAAAGACAUCAGACACAUAAAAAACGUGUGUAGCCCGUUUCACCGGACUGACGCCAAUGUUUUAUGAGCAUUGGAUUUGAUGUGAGGUCCAAACAUCACAGUUUUUUCUUUGCUGAUUGAAGUGAAAAAAAAAAAAAAAAGGAAUAUCCGAAUGUACGCACAAGAGGUAUAGGAGAUUCUAAAGCAAACAGAUACCACCUCACCAAUGCGAAUGCGUCAGGAAUCCGUAGAGACCUGCAAGAUGUAGCCAUUGCAAGUAAAUUGCGGGUUUUCAUCGGUGAGUAGAGACGUGAAUAAUUUAGUGAGUUAGAAAAUGAAAAGGAAUAAAAAUGAAUGAG